ACAAGAGACUGGCACCAAAUAAUCCCAAUCCAAAUUGAACACAUUGUUGUGUUUCAUAGUGGGAGUCAGUUGUGCAUGUUUUGUAGUAGUGAUGUGUGAAAAUUUUUGAUCUGCAUGUGUUCUCUUAUGGUAUGGAGUAUAGACAUUUUAUUUUUUCUUGUUCUUUGGUUUUUAUAUGGUUUAAUGUGGAUACAAUUGUUUGACCAAAAUGGAAUGCUUGGAAAUCUAACACUGAGGUUCAUUAUAAGUUGCACUUAGUAGUAAAUAAAAAGUUGUGGUUAGGUUAGGUAAUUUUAGGAUUUUGACAAACAUUACAAAUAUAACAGCUUUUUAAAUUAUUAGCAAUAGUUUAUAGUUUUUAACAGAUAUAAAUUGAAUAACUUUUGUAUGUAUUAUUCUUUCCCAACUUCCUAUAUACAGCUGUUGCUCAGCGGUUUCAGCUUUUCUUUCUCUCUAAUUGAACAUUUUAAAUUUAUAAUAACUCACUAUUAUAUAAAAAAAAACAUCUUAAGAGAAGAGAAAAAUCUUCUUGAGAAAUUUAGAUAAUUUUUAUUGAUUUUCACAUAAA
Molecule: non-coding RNA, 568 nt
Organism: Cinara cedri
Lineage: Eukaryota; Metazoa; Arthropoda; Insecta; Hemiptera; Aphididae
Source: the annotation of a GenBank genome assembly